This 490-nucleotide ribosomal RNA is filed under the name uncultured bacterium. RNAcentral's name for it is "bacterial SSU rRNA". It matches the Rfam family "Bacterial small subunit ribosomal RNA", at positions 32 to 507 of the family's 1533-position model. The record is from RNAcentral.
AACGCUGGCGGCGUGCUUAACACAUGCAAGUCGAACGAAAGGACGGGAAGAGCUUGCUCUUUCCGGAAUUGAGUGGCAAACGGGUGAGUAACACGUAAACAACCUGCCUUCAGGAUGGGGACAACAGACGGAAACGACUGCUAAUACCGAAUAAGUUCCAAGAGCCGCAUGGCCCAUGGAAGAAAAGGUGGCCUCUACCUGUAAGCUAUCGCCUGAAGAGGGGCUUGCGUCUGAUUAGCUGGUUGGAGGGGGUAAACGGGCCCCACCAAGGCGACGAUCAGUAGCCGGUCUGAGAGGAUGAACGGCCACACUGGAACUGAGACACGGUCCAGACUCCUACGGGAGGCAGCAGUGGGGAAUAUUGGGCAAUGGGCGAAAGCCUGACCCAGCGACGCCGCGUGAGGGAAGAAGGUCUUCGGAUUGUAAACCUUAGUUAGCAGGGAAGAAGAAAGUGACGGUACCUGCAGAGAAAGCCACGGCUAACUACGUG